GACGAACGCUGGCGGCGUGCUUAACACAUGCAAGUCGAACGGAAAGGCCCUGCUUGCAGGGUACUCGAGUGGCGAACGGGUGAGUAACACGUGGGUUAUCUGCCCUGCACUUCGGGAUAAGCCUGGGAAACUGGGUCUAAUACCGGACAGGAGCCAUUUUUAGUGUGAUGGUUGGAAAGUUUUUUCGGUGUAGGAUGAGCUUGCGGCCUAUCAACUUGUUGGUGGGGUAAUGGCCUACCAAGGCGGCGACGGGUAGCCGGCCUGGGAGGGUGGACAGCCACCUUGGGACUGAGAUACGGCCCCGACUCCUACGGGAGGCAGCAGUGGGGAAUAUUGCACAAUGGGCGCAAGCCUGAUGCAGCGGCGCCGCGUGGGGGAUGACGGCCUUCGGGUUGUAAACUCCUUUCGCUAGGGACGAAGCUUUUUGUGACGGUACCUAGAUAAGAAGCACCGGCUAACUACGUG
Molecule: ribosomal RNA, 465 nt
Filed under: uncultured bacterium
Lineage: Bacteria
Description: partial 16S ribosomal RNA
Rfam family: Bacterial small subunit ribosomal RNA
Source: RNAcentral